UUGAAUUGUGAUAAUUUAAUUGUGAUGUUAGAUUAGGUUAGUUGGUUGGUCAUUAGCGAUAUUAUAAUGUUUCCUUGAGAUUUCUGGAUUGUUAUUGUGUUUGCCACUCUGAUUUGGCUCAAUAUUUAAUUUGUCGUGUGCUUGCGAUUGGGUAUACGCUUAGUUGCCGAAUCGGUGUUUAAUCUUCGCUUAGUUGAUUAGACCGUAUGGUGCAUGACUGAUUAAAUUUGUGCAUUGUAUUUGCUUAGUUUGCAAUUUGAAGACCGAAUUAGCCUUCGCUUAGUUGGGUGAUUCGUGUCAGAUUUGGAUUAGAGUAAUGUGUACUUGUCGUUAAUCUGUGAUUGGAAGCACAGUAAUUGAGUUAAU
This 366-nucleotide long non-coding RNA is filed under the name Vigna radiata. RNAcentral's name for it is "long non-coding RNA (VRAD_LNC014506)". The record is from RNAcentral. Lineage: Eukaryota; Viridiplantae; Streptophyta; Magnoliopsida; Fabales; Fabaceae.